Molecule: unclassified non-coding RNA, 250 nt
Filed under: plant metagenome
Description: partial contains small subunit ribosomal RNA, internal transcribed spacer 1, and 5.8S ribosomal RNA
Rfam family: 5.8S ribosomal RNA (bases 194-250)
Source: RNAcentral
GUAGGUGAACCUGCGGAAGGAUCAUUACUGCUUGCUUAUGGUCUUGUGGGGGGCAACCCUUGCAGGGUCAGGCAAUGCUACCCUUGUCUAUGUAUACCUGCUGUUAUUUCCCUCGGCGGGGCAACCCGCCCUGGGGACACUAUAAACCCUUGCAAUAUGUAUCAAACCUUCUGAAACAAACCAAAAUAAUUACAACUUUUAACAAUGGAUCUCUUGGUUCUGGCAUCGAUGAAGAACGCAGCAUCUGACU